UCCGGUUCACAAUGUAAGUCAUUCUAGCAUUUCCCACAUUCAUAUUGAAAAAUAUGAAUGUGGGAAUUUCAAUAUGAAUGUGGGAAAUGCUAGAAUGACUUACAUUGUGAAACGG
RNAcentral lists this unclassified non-coding RNA (115 nucleotides) under Oryza sativa (Asian cultivated rice). Its description in RNAcentral is "partial microRNA MIR472a-48as precursor". The record is from RNAcentral. Lineage: Eukaryota; Viridiplantae; Streptophyta; Magnoliopsida; Poales; Poaceae.